RNAcentral lists this ribosomal RNA (253 nucleotides) under uncultured bacterium. RNAcentral's name for it is "partial 16S ribosomal RNA". It matches the Rfam family "Bacterial small subunit ribosomal RNA", at positions 524 to 776 of the family's 1533-position model. The record is from RNAcentral.
UACAGAGGUCCCAAGCGUUGUUCGGAUUCAUUGGGCGUAAAGGGUGCGUAGGCGGCGCGGUAAGUCGGGUGUGAAAUCUCGGGGCUUAACUCCGAAACUGCAUUCGAUACUGCCGUGCUUGAGGACUGGAGAGGAGACUGGAAUUUACGGUGUAGCGGUGAAAUGCGUAGAUAUCGUAAGGAAGACCAGUGGCGAAGGCGGGUCUCUGGACAGUUCCUGACGCUGAGGCACGAAGGCCAGGGGAACAAACGGG